AUACUUACCUAGCAGAGGAAAUACUACGACCAUGGUGGUGUUGUUUUCCAGGGUGAGACUUAAUCAUUGCCCUCUGAAAGUUCUGAUCUCCAUGAUUUCCCCAAAUGCAGAAAGCAUGAGUGCAGGGUUUGUGAUAGUAGGGGAAUGUGGUGAACAUUAUUUUUAA
Myodes glareolus (Bank vole) is the source of this 166-nucleotide non-coding RNA. Lineage: Eukaryota; Metazoa; Chordata; Mammalia; Rodentia; Cricetidae. The record is from RefSeq and is a predicted model, not a curated record.